RNAcentral lists this ribosomal RNA (1728 nucleotides) under Arthonia sp. Se2. RNAcentral's name for it is "partial large subunit ribosomal RNA". It matches the Rfam family "Eukaryotic large subunit ribosomal RNA", at positions 177 to 1398 of the family's 3401-position model. The record is from RNAcentral. Lineage: Eukaryota; Fungi; Ascomycota; Arthoniomycetes; Arthoniales; Arthoniaceae.
CGGGCCAAGUCCCUUGGAACAGGGCGCCCAAGAGGGUGAGAGCCCCGUACGCCCGGUCACCACCGCCUUGAGAAGCUCCUUCGACGAGUCGAGUUGUUUGGGAAUGCAGCUCUAAGCGGGAGGUAAAUUUCUUCUAAAGCUAAAUAUUGGCCAGAGACCGAUAGCGCACAAGUAGAGUGAUCGAAAGAUGAAAAGCACUUUGGAAAGAGAGUUAAAAAGCACGUGAAAUUGUUGAAAGGGAAGCUCUUGCUGUCAGACUUGUCGUGGUUGUUCAGCCGCCCCCCGGGGCGGUGUACUCUUCCGCGGCGGGCCAGCAUCAGCUCUGGCGGCCGGACAAAGGCCUUGGGAAUGUAGCCCCCCUCGGGGGGUGUUAUAGCCCGGGGCGUAAUGCGGCCAGCCGGGGCUGAGGGAAGCGUUUUUGCUAGGAUGCUGGCGUAAUGGCAGCAAGCGACCCGUCUUGAAACACGGACCAAGGAGUCUAACAUCUGUGCGAGUGUUUGGGUGUCAAACCCAUGCGCGUAAUGAAAGUGAACGGAGGUGGGAACCCCCUCGGGGUGCACCAUCGACCGAUCCUGAUGUUUUCGGAUGGAUUUGAGUAAGAGCAUAGCUGUUGGGACCCGAAAGAUGGUGAACUAUGCGUAGAUAGGGUGAAGCCAGAGGAAACUCUGGUGGAGGCUCGCAGCGGUUCUGACGUGCAAAUCGAUCGUCAAAUCUGCGUAUAGGUAAGCGAAAGACCCAUUUCUUUAGUGUACCUUAAUAUGAACUAUGCUAACACUCACGUGUCCAGGGGCGAAAGACUAAUCGAACCAUGAGAGACUACUAGGUGGUUAAGAGGCCGCGAGGGGGGUUUAGUGGUGGCGUCUAGCACGCCCCUCCUCCCCACGCCGGGCCUAGUCCUAGAGCUCCCCGAGUUCCUAGGGCUAUAUCGACAAACUGCGGGGACAUCCCCGAUUAGGGCCCCUCGGGCUACUAAGCCUCCGCUACACAUGCGGGGUGGCCGCGGCUAACGACCGUGGGUAUAGUAGGAACGUCCGGGGCCUUUAUAGGGACGAUCCGCAGCUGAGUCCCCGUCGCCCACGUGGCGGGUGACCCGGUUCACAGACUAAACGUCGAUAGGUGGUCCCCCUAACUUAACGGGGGCGACCGCUUGAGAUAUAGUCGAGACCGCGGCGGGAAAGCCGCGGCCCCCAGAACGGCGUACGCGAACCUAGGAGCUAGUAGCUGGUUCACGCCGAAGUUUCGUAAGUCUAAACCCCCCUUUCCCCCACAGAUUCGAGGGAGACGUACUAACAAACCCCUUAGCCUCAGGAUAGCAGUAACGUUUUCAGUUUUAUGAGGUAAAGCGAAUGAUUAGAAGCCUUGGGGGCGUAACGCCCUUAACUUAUUCUCAAACUUUAAAUAUGUAAGAAGUCCUUGUUGCUUAGUUGAACGGGGACAAUUGAAUGCACCGUUACUAGUGGGCCAUUUUUGGUAAGCAGAACUGGCGAUGCGGGAUGAACCGAACGCGGGGUUAAGGUGCCGGAAUGCACGCUCAUCAGACACCACAAAAGGUGUUAGUUCAUCUAGACAGCAGGACGGUGGCCAUGGAAGUCGGAAUCCGCUAAGGAGUGUGUAACAACUCACCUGCCGAAUGAACUAGCCCUGAAAAUGGAUGGCGCUCAAGCGUGCUACCAAUACCCCGCCGCCGGGGCAGGAACGAUGCCCCGGCGAGUAGGCGUGCGUGGGGGU